AUUGAACGCUGGCGGCAUGCCUUACACAUGCAAGUCGAACGGCAGCAUGGAGGAGCUUGCUCCUCUGAUGGCGAGUGGCGAACGGGUGAGUAAAGCAUCGGAACGUACCGUGUAGUGGGGGAUAACGUAGCGAAAGUUACGCUAAUACCGCAUACGCACUGAGGUGGAAAGCAGGGGAUCGCAAGACCUUGCGCUAUACGAGCGGCCGAUGUCAGAUUAGCUAGUUGGUAGGGUAAAGGCUACCAAGGCGACGAUCUGUAGCGGGUCUGAGAGGAUGAUCCGCCACACUGGGACUGAGACACGGCCCAGACUCCUACGGAGGCAGCAGUGGGGAAUUUUGGACAAUGGGGAAACCUGAUCCAGCCAUGCCGCGUGAGUGAAGAAGGCCU
RNAcentral lists this ribosomal RNA (389 nucleotides) under uncultured bacterium. RNAcentral describes it as "bacterial SSU rRNA". It matches the Rfam family "Bacterial small subunit ribosomal RNA", at positions 30 to 417 of the family's 1533-position model. The record is from RNAcentral.